Cinara cedri is the source of this 424-nucleotide non-coding RNA. NCBI's taxonomy places the organism in Eukaryota, Metazoa, Arthropoda, Insecta, Hemiptera, Aphididae. The record is from the annotation of a GenBank genome assembly.
AUUAUUACAAUACGAGAAAACAAUGUUUUCGUGGGUUUUCGUAAAUACCUCGGAGAAUUAGUUAUUUACACGCAAUCUUGUUUAUUUAUUUAUUAAUAAUAUCAAGAUAAUAAUAUAUAAAUGGAAGACGUAACGUUUCUGAAACAAAUUAACUGGCAGAUUAAUAAAUGAGUACAAAUAUUUUCGAGAGCAAACUUGGCCCUGCAGAAAAACAAACGAACGUUUCAUUUAAGAAGCUUUCAUCUUCGUUAAGAUGUAAAAAUAUAAUAUCUGAAUAUCAAUUUAUUUCGAAUGCCUAAUUAAGAGAGCGUGAUACACUCAUGACGUGUUGUAUCCACCUUAUAAACGUCGAUAUAGGAAAUGUGCGUUCAGCAAGGGCACCAUUGUACUUUUUGUUUUAAUACAAAAGUGGAUUGAUCCAUUA